UACGUAGGUGGCGAGCGUUGUCCGGAUUUACUGGGCGUAAAGGGAGCGUAGGCGGACUUUUAAGUGAGAUGUGAAAUACCCGGGCUCAACUUGGGUGCUGCAUUUCAAACUGGAAGUCUAGAGUGCAGGAGAGGAGAAUGGAAUUCUUAGUGUAGCGGUGAAAUGCGUAGAGAUUAGGAAGAACACCAGUGGCGAAGGCGAUUCUCUGGUCUGUAACUGACGCUGAGGCUCGAAAGCGUGGGGAGCAAACAGGAUUAGAUACCCCGGUA
Molecule: ribosomal RNA, 269 nt
Filed under: uncultured prokaryote
Description: partial 16S ribosomal RNA
Rfam family: Bacterial small subunit ribosomal RNA
Source: RNAcentral